UACGUAGGGUGCGAGCGUUAAUCGGAAUUACUGGGCGUAAAGCGUGCGCAGGCGGUUUUGUAAGCCAGAUGUGAAAUCCCCGGGCUUAACCUGGGAAUGGCAUUUGGGACUGCAAGGCUUGAGUGCGGCAGAGGAGACUAGAAUUCCUGGUGUAGCAGUGAAAUGCGUAGAUAUCAGGAGGAAUACCGAUGGCGAAGGCAGGUCUCUGGGCUGACACUGACGCUCAUGCACGGAAGCGUGGGGAGCAAACAGG
This 253-nucleotide ribosomal RNA is filed under the name uncultured bacterium. Its description in RNAcentral is "partial 16S ribosomal RNA". It matches the Rfam family "Bacterial small subunit ribosomal RNA", at positions 524 to 776 of the family's 1533-position model. The record is from RNAcentral.